Molecule: ribosomal RNA, 285 nt
Filed under: uncultured prokaryote
Description: partial 16S ribosomal RNA
Rfam family: Bacterial small subunit ribosomal RNA
Source: RNAcentral
UCGAGAAUCUUCGGCAAUGCGCGAAAGCGUGACCGAGCAAUGCCGCGUGCGGGAUGAAGGCCCUCGGGUUGUAAACCGCGAAAGUAAGGCGGAAGGCUCUGUGAAGAGCAGGGUUUGACCAAUUUACAGUAAGGACGGGCUAAGUUCGUGCCAGCAGCCGCGGUAAGACGCACCGUCCAAACGUUAUUCGGACUUAUUGGGCUUAAAGGGUGGGUAGGCGGCGCUGUAAGGCGGGUGUGAAAUCCCACGGCUCAACCGUGGAACUGCGCCCGAUACUGCAGUGCU